Long non-coding RNA from Anolis carolinensis (green anole), 326 nucleotides. RefSeq lists it as uncharacterized. The record is from RefSeq and is a predicted model, not a curated record. The transcript is spliced from 2 exons. Lineage: Eukaryota; Metazoa; Chordata; Lepidosauria; Squamata; Anolidae.
AUUCUAAGAAGCCUAUCCUUGCCUGGGUUAGGUCAAGCCUCUUGUAUGCUGACAUGCAACAACUGUAUAGACAUCCAUAGAAGUGAAAUUAAAAUCUUGAGACAUCUCUUCUGGCCCCAGUGGAAACAGGUAACAGGGCUUAAUUUGCACCACCUGAAGCAAGCUGAGGACAAAGGUGAAAGUAUGGAGAGAGGAAACAAACUUGCAAAUUUUAAAAGCAGCUAAAAAUGGAACAACAGCUCUCCAUAUUUGCUGGAGUUAGGGAGAAAGGACCCUCCCCACCCCCACAAGAAUAUGAAAAACCGCAAAUAAAAAGUGGUAAAUUU